AAAAAAUUAGUUAAUUCAUAACAUUAGUUUGUCAUACUAAAAUUAUUAUAAAAUAAUAUUUUUUA
RNAcentral lists this transfer RNA (65 nucleotides) under Raymondia sp. A GC-2023a. RNAcentral describes it as "tRNA-Asp". The record is from RNAcentral. Lineage: Eukaryota; Metazoa; Arthropoda; Insecta; Diptera; Streblidae.